Aphis gossypii (cotton aphid) is the source of this 854-nucleotide long non-coding RNA. RefSeq lists it as uncharacterized. The record is from RefSeq and is a predicted model, not a curated record. NCBI's taxonomy places the organism in Eukaryota, Metazoa, Arthropoda, Insecta, Hemiptera, Aphididae. The transcript has 3 exons.
ACUGCUGUUGCAUAAUAUCAAGAGUCUGUAUUUAAAAAAAAAAUCAGUAACGCUCGGCUCUAUGUCUUGAGUGUACUUCGUCAUCUAGUACGAUAUACUUAUAAAUUAUUAAAUCAUUGCAUAAUAAAAACGAUUCUUAUGUGAGGCGAGACGGUGUCUCAGUUUUGUUCAAAGCUAAAGCCUAAAAUAGAUUAUACUCUAAAUAUUUUCAAAAUUUAAUUGUGUAUAUAGAAAUUAAUAAUGUAUCAGGGGACUGGAGAUGUAUUCUCACGUAAUGAUGAGAAGUUUCAAGUCACGCGAUCGAUAUUUUUUUAAUCACAGCAUUAAGCACAAAUAAUUCAAAACGUCGUUUUUCGUUUAAACGUCCGAUUUCAUCAAAAUUUGAACUUCAAACGUUCAUAAAAUAAAUUAAGGUAUAAUUCGGAAAGAUUGGACAGACAAUUGUGCUUUGGUGUACAUUGAAUAAUCUAUCUACAACGCCGUAGAAUUGCAAUAAUAAUAUGAUACAGGAAAAAUGUCAAAUAUUUUUACGUGCUAUAUAGAACUAAUGAACACAGAAAAAAGAAUAAUUAAUACCAUAUUAUCAUCAAAAGUGCAACAGGAUACAUACUUUGCAGUUAAAAAUGUUUUCAAUUCAGGAAUAUGAUUGAGCCGAGCAGCUGGACGAGCCAAAAGUAUUCUACAGCAAGUAACUUCAAUGCCUUUUUCAUGAUUAGCCAUAGCUAAAGCCAUUCUAGCUAAAAACAAUGCUUGAAUCAUUGACAGUUGAGGAGGAGGUUUUAAAUGCAAAUCUUGGAUGCCUUGUGCAACCCAACAACUAAAAUGAUCCCAAAACAAGUUUUCAGCUCUUCUAC